This 1655-nucleotide long non-coding RNA is filed under the name Paramuricea clavata. The record is from RNAcentral. Lineage: Eukaryota; Metazoa; Cnidaria; Anthozoa; Malacalcyonacea; Plexauridae.
CAAUCAGGUGGGACAUUUGUUAUUGUAUCAUGUCCAGAAAACUACUGCUAUUGUCACAAGAAUUUUACAUCCAGUGGUGAGUGUCUGUUUGAGAGAGAUAAGCAAUGUAGGGGUAACAGAGAAAAGCAAGUGUGUGGAAGGUGCAAGAAGGGCUUUUUUUUAAAAAUUGGUGAAGAUGAUUGUACAAGGGAGUGUAAUUCUGAUUCACUGAAAUGGAUAGGUUAUCUAGUCGCUAUAUUAUUAUCUCUAACUUUAUUAGUGCUUUUCAUUAUGCUAAUUAAUUUUGACCCUUUUAGCGCUUAUCUUAAUGCAUGGCUAUAUUCUUAUCAAGUACUGUUAUCUUUAACACCUGGUGAUAUGAGUUUUGAUCCUUUUCUAACCUUCAUUAUUAAUCUUGCCCAUAUUCAGAUUCUUGGAUUUGGUAGUGUAUGCAUGUGGUCAAACAUGGAUGACUUGCAGAAAUUAGCUUUCAACUAUAUACUGCCUGUCUAUGUUUUUAUUUGUUUGUUUGUCCUUGGCAAGAUAGUUGUACAAUGGCCCAAUAACUUUUUCACACGUCGGUUAACACAGACUUCUUUGGCUCGAGCAUUUUGUACUCUAUUUGUACUGUCAUAUUCUACUGUGAUCAAUAUCAGCUUGAAAAUUCUUCGUCCUGUCAAAGUAGGUAAUGAGUAUUUCAUGUACUACCAGGGAGAUGUUGGGUAUUUCAGCUUCUACCAUGUAAUUUUUGCUGUGUUUGCUCUACUCUUGGUGAUAUUUGUUGGUAUAUUUUUUCCGUUGCUUCUUAUUCGCCGUCAGUGGUUUAGGUCCUUUGAUAAAGGUUUAAAGAAACUUUUACUUGAUAACUUCCAGCGAUGUUUUCGUGAUGGUUAUCAGUGGUGCGCAGGUUACUAUUUUGUUUGUCGAUUUAUCUUACUUGUGGUACGUCUCGCUGUUCCUCGAAGUGCAUUGCAAGUUAGUUUGUUGAAUAGUGUUUGUUGUAUUAUCUUGGCUAUAUUUGUUUUGUGUCAACCUUAUGCAGACAAUACCAAUGGUGGUACAGUAGUACCAUACAGAAUACUAAAUAUCUCUGAUGCUGUUUUGUUGUGUAAUCUCUGUCUAAUUAGCAGUUUUGGUGGUACUGCUUCUGGCAUUUAUGGCCACUCUUAUUACAAAAACUUCCAAACUGUUAUCUCGAUUCUAAGCUACAUCCCAUUAGUGUUCUCUUUUGGGCUCUUGGCUUAUGUUCUGCGUCACAAAUAUAUGACCCGCAAUCGUCUUUUGGAAGAUGUGGACUAAUAAUGUAUUGUAUAUAUUAUUAUUUACCAGGUCCUGGAGCUUGAAAUAUGUUGCUAGGCUAAUUAUCUAAUUUGUAUAGCUGCUCACACGUCAUUGGUAAUCAAUUAUGCCCACAAUAAUAAGACAUUUGAAUCAUCAGUACAACUAUAUGCACCGCAUGAUAUUUCUUUUAAAAACCAGUGGCGGACCCUUAGCUGAGGUUUAGAUCCGUUAACCAAUCAGACGCGUACUUAUAGUUUGUACAAGGUAAUGGGAGUGGAAGGCGAGUCUAAACCUCACUAUUAGGUGGCCGGGUGACGAAUUAGGUUUCCAAGAUAUGACCACCUUUUGUAGCUGGAAAUCGUAAUUCUUUAAACUUUUUUGCCUUGCUUAAUUUA